This 253-nucleotide ribosomal RNA is filed under the name uncultured bacterium. RNAcentral describes it as "partial 16S ribosomal RNA". It matches the Rfam family "Bacterial small subunit ribosomal RNA", at positions 524 to 776 of the family's 1533-position model. The record is from RNAcentral.
GACGAAGGAUCCAAGCGUUAUCCGGAUUCAUUGGGUUUAAAGGGAGCGUAGGCGGGUUUAUAAGUCAGCGGUGAAAGCCGAUCGCUUAACGAUCGAACUGCCAUUGAUACUGUAGACCUAGAGUACAGAUGAUGUUGGCGGAAUAUGACAUGUAGCGGUGAAAUGCAUAGAUAUGUCAUAGAACACCGAUUGCGAAGGCAGCUGACAAAACUGUAACUGACGCUGAGGCUCGAAAGUGCGGGGAUCAAACAGG